This 464-nucleotide ribosomal RNA is filed under the name uncultured bacterium. Its description in RNAcentral is "SSU rRNA". It matches the Rfam family "Bacterial small subunit ribosomal RNA", at positions 26 to 518 of the family's 1533-position model. The record is from RNAcentral.
AGAAUCAACGCUGGCGGCGUGCCUAACACAUGCAAGUCGAACGAGAAAGUGGAGCAAUCCAUGAGUAAAGUGGCGACCGGGUGAGUAACACGUGACUAACCUACCUUCGAGUGGGGGAUAACCUCGGGAAACCGAGGCUAAUACCGCAUAACAUCGCAAGAUCAAAGCAGCAAUGCGCUGGAAGAGGGGGUCGCGGCUGAUUAGCUAGUUGGCGGGGUAAUGGCCCACCAAGGCGAAGAUCGGUAGCCGGCCUGAGAGGGCGCGACGGCCGACGACUGGAACUGAAACACGGUCCAGACUCCUACGGGAGGCAGCAGUGGGGAAUUUUGCGCAAUGGGGGAAACCCUGACGCAGCAACGCCGCGUGGAGGAUGAAGCCCCUUGGGGUGUAAACUCCUUUCGACCAAGACGAUAAUGACGGUACUGGUGGAAGAAGCAACCGGCUAACUCUGUGCCAGCAGCCGC